AGGCGUGUAGCUCAGCGGUCAGAGCGCCCUGUUUUAACUCCAGGGAGGUCGUAGGUUCGAAUCCUGCUGCGCCUACCA
Molecule: transfer RNA, 78 nt
Filed under: compost metagenome
Description: tRNA-Leu
Rfam family: tRNA
About the family: Transfer RNA (tRNA) molecules are approximately 80 nucleotides in length. Their secondary structure includes four short double-helical elements and three loops (D, anti-codon, and T loops). Further hydrogen bonds mediate the characteristic L-shaped molecular structure. tRNAs have two regions of fundamental functional importance: the anti-codon, which is responsible for specific mRNA codon recognition, and the 3' end, to which the tRNAs corresponding amino acid is attached (by aminoacyl-tRNA synthetases). tRNAs cope with the degeneracy of the genetic code in two manners: having more than one tRNA (with a specific anti-codon) for a particular amino acid; and 'wobble' base-pairing, i.e. permitting non-standard base-pairing at the 3rd anti-codon position.
Source: RNAcentral